AGUGAACGCUGGCGGUAGGCCUAACACAUGCAAGUCGAACGGCAGCACAGUAAGAGCUUGCUCUUACGGGUUGCGAGUGGCGGACGGGUGAGGAAUACAUCGGAAUCUACUUUUUCGUGGGGGAUAACGUAGGGAAACUUACGCUAAUACCGCAUACGACCUACGGGUGAAAGCAGGGGAUCUUCGGACCUUGCGCGAUUGAAUGAGCCGAUGUCGGAUUAGCUAGUUGGCGGGGUAAAGGCCCACCAAGGCGACGAUCCGUAGCUGGUCUGAGAGGAUGAUCAGCCACACUGGAACUGAGACACGGUCCAGACUCCUUCGGGAGGAAGCAGUGGGGAAUAUUGGACAAUGGGCGCAAGCCUGAUCCAGCCAUACCGCGUGGGUGAAGAAGGCCUUCGGGUUGUAAAGCCCUUUUGUUGGGAAAGAAAAGCAGCAGGUUAAUACCCCGCUGUUCUGACGGUACCCAAAGAAUAAGCACCGGCUAACUUCGUG
RNAcentral lists this ribosomal RNA (492 nucleotides) under uncultured bacterium. RNAcentral's name for it is "partial 16S ribosomal RNA". It matches the Rfam family "Bacterial small subunit ribosomal RNA", at positions 29 to 507 of the family's 1533-position model. The record is from RNAcentral.